Molecule: ribosomal RNA, 826 nt
Filed under: Lamproglena orientalis
Lineage: Eukaryota; Metazoa; Arthropoda; Copepoda; Cyclopoida; Lernaeidae
Description: partial 28S ribosomal RNA
Rfam family: Eukaryotic large subunit ribosomal RNA
Source: RNAcentral
ACAACCGUGAUGCCCUUAGUAAUGGCGAAUGAACCGGGCAGAGCCCAGCACUGAACCGCCGGCCUGUUUUACUGGGUCGCGUGGAAUGUAGUGUUCGGGAGAGCCUUUUCGUGGUGCGUGGUUGACUCUAUCCAAGUCCACCUUGACUGGGGCCACUGCCCAAAGAGGGUGAUAGGCCCGUAGGAUGGUGCACGUAUUGCGAUGGCUUUUUCCCUUGAGUCGAGUUGCUUGGGAGUGCAGCUCAAAGUGCGUGGUAAACUCCACGUAAGGCUAAAUAUCACCCCGAGACCGAUAGCGAACAAGUACCGUGAGGGAAAGUUGAAAAGAACUUUGAAGAGAGAGUUCAAUAGUACGUGAAACUGUGUAGCGGUAAACGGAGGGGCUCUCGAAGUCCUGGGCCUAGAGAUUCAGGUUGACGGUAUGAGCAGCAGCCCUUUUCCUCGGGGAUCCGUGAAGGACCCUGAUCGGAUGAAGGUUUUUGGUGUGCCGGCGACUGCACUUCUCUGGCUCUAUGAAUGGACACGACGUGUCACUGGGUGUUGGCGGACCUUUUUUUAAUAAAAGAAGGAGCAGAGGUGAAGUUUGCUGAAGCUGGAUGGGCGUUUGAAAGAGCGUUUAUCCGUUCAGCAAGCCCUUUGUCACGUUUUUUUUUUAAUUAAAAAAAAUCUGGCUUCGCUCUCGGUGACAGAUGUUUUAGGCCAUGACGGGCUCGUUUUUUUUUAAAAGCGAGGUUUGUCCACCCCAUUUGUGGGUGUUGACCCCGCUCGUCGCCGGACUGUCGUGAGUAGGUCGGUGGCCCCUCCGACCCGUCUUGAAACACGGACCA